CGUUCUGUAAGCCUGUGAAGGUGUGCUGUGAGGCAUGCUGGAGGUAUCAGAAGUGCGAAUGCUGACAUAAGUAACGAUAAAGCGGGUGAAAAGCCCGCUCGCCGGAAGACCAAGGGUUCCUGUCCAACGUUAAUCGGGGCAGGGUGAGUCGACCCCUAAGGCGAGGCCGAAAGGCGUAGUCGAUGGGAAACAGGUUAAUAUUCCUGUACUUGGUGUUACUGCGAAGGGGGGACGGAGAAGGCUAUGUUGGCCGGGCGACGGUUGUCCCGGUUUAAGCGUGUAGGCUGGUUUUCCAGGCAAAUCCGGAAAAUCAAGGCUGAGGCGUGAUGACGAGGCACUACGGUGCUGAAGCAACAAAUGCCCUGCUUCCAGGAAAAGCCUCUAAGCAUCAGGUAACAUCAAAUCGUACCCCAAACCGACACAGGUGGUCAGGUAGAGAAUACCAAGGCGCUUGAGAGAACUCGGGUGAAGGAACUAGGCAAAAUGGUGCCGUAACUUCGGGAGAAGGCACGCUGAUAUGUAGGUGAAGCGACUUGCUCGUGGAGCUGAAAUCAGUCGAAGAUACCAGCUGGCUGCAACUGUUUAUUAAAAACACAGCACUGUGCAAACACGAAAGUGGACGUAUACGGUGUGACGCCUGCCCGGUGCCGGAAGGUUAAUUGAUGGGGUCAGCGCAAGCGAAGCUCUUGAUCGAAGCCCCGGUAAACGGCGGCCGUAACUAUAACGGUCCUAAGGUAGCGAAAUUCCUUGUCGGGUAAGUUCCGACCUGCACGAAUGGCGUAAUGAUGGCCAGGCUGUCUCCACCCGAGACUCAGUGAAAUUGAACUCGCUGUGAAGAUGCAGUGUACCCGCGGCAAGACGGAAAGACCCCGUGAACCUUUACUAUAGCUUGACACUGAACAUUGAGCCUUGAUGUGUAGGAUAGGUGGGAGGCUUUGAAGUGUGGACGCCAGUCUGCAUGGAGCCGGCCUUGAAAUACCACCCUUUAAUGUUUGAUGUUCUAACGUUGACCCGUGAUCCGGGUUGCGGACAGUGUCUGGUGGGUAGUUUGACUGGGGCGGUCUCCUCCUAAAGAGUAACGGAGGAGCACGAAGGUUGGCUAAUCCUGGUCGGACAUCAGGAGGUUAGUGCAAUGGCAUAAGCCAGCUUGACUGCGAGCGUGACGGCGCGAGCAGGUGCGAAAGCAGGUCAUAGUGAUCCGGUGGUUCUGAAUGGAAGGGCCAUCGCUCAACGGAUAAAAGGUACUCCGGGGAUAACAGGCUGAUACCGCCCAAGAGUUCAUAUCGACGGCGGUGUUUGGCACCUCGAUGUCGGCUCAUCACAUCCUGGGGCUGAAGUAGGUCCCAAGGGUAUGGCUGUUCGCCAUUUAAAGUGGUACGCGAGCUGGGUUUAGAACGUCGUGAGACAGUUCGGUCCCUA
This 1419-nucleotide ribosomal RNA is filed under the name Escherichia coli. RNAcentral describes it as "partial 23S ribosomal RNA". It matches the Rfam family "Bacterial large subunit ribosomal RNA", at positions 1237 to 2640 of the family's 2925-position model. Lineage: Bacteria; Pseudomonadati; Pseudomonadota; Gammaproteobacteria; Enterobacterales; Enterobacteriaceae. The record is from RNAcentral.